Molecule: unclassified non-coding RNA, 253 nt
Filed under: uncultured Parcubacteria group bacterium
Lineage: Bacteria
Description: contains 16S-23S intergenic spacer region
Rfam family: Bacterial small subunit ribosomal RNA
Source: RNAcentral
UACGAGUGCCCCAAGCGUUAUCCGGAAUUACUGGGCGUAAAGGGUGUGUAGGCGGUCGUAUUAGUCUCUUGUUAAAGCCCGGGGCUCAACCUCGGAAUCGCAAGAGAAACGGUACGACUCGAGGGCAUGAGAGGUGCAUGGAACUCACGGUGUAGGGGUGAAAUCCGUUGAUAUCGUGGGGAACACCAAAGGCGAAGGCAAUGCACUGGUAUGUUCCUGACGCUGAGACACGAAAGCUGGGGGAGAGAAGCGG